Molecule: long non-coding RNA, 2305 nt
Filed under: Homo sapiens (human)
Lineage: Eukaryota; Metazoa; Chordata; Mammalia; Primates; Hominidae
Description: HSALNT0374914
Source: RNAcentral
CAAAGGAGCCAUUCAUCCAGAAGCAGGAAAAAAGGGCCAACGUUUAGAAUUUGAAAAGCAGUGUUUGAAUGCACUUGUUACCUGGUAAACCAGUCAUUUACUGCUAUCUUACAAAUGACCACAGCACAUGGUAGACUUAAAGAACAAUUAUUUGCACAUUUCUCAAUUUUGUGGGUCAGAAACUGGCAGCACUCAGCUGAGAGACUCUUCUGUUUUACGGGGAUUCACAGCGUUCACUCAGAGACAGAUAGCUGGUGGGCAGGCCGGUGUCAGGGACCAAGGAUGGCAUCACUCGUGUGUCUGGCCCUUGACAGGGAUGCUGGAGGUCUGGGCUCACCUGGGAAUGGAGAUGGCAACACCUACAUGUGACCUUUCCAGCAUGGCAGUCUCAGAGUGGAUAUGGCAACAGCUGCACAUGAACUCUCCGGCAUGGCAGUCUCAGAGUGGAUAUGGCAACAGCUGCACAUGACCUCUCCGGCAUGGCAGUCUCAGAGUGGAUAUGGCAACACCUGCACACGACCUCUCCGGCAUGGCAGUCUCAGAGUGGAUAUGGCAACACCUACACACGACCUCUCCAGCAUGGCAGUCUCAGAGUGGAUAUGGCAACAGCUACACAUGACCUCACCGGCAUGGCAGUCUCAGAGUGGAUAUGGCAACAGCUACACAUGACCUCACCAGCAUGGCAGUCUCAGGUUACUGGUACUUCUUAGGUCUCAGCUGAGGACUCCAGUGCAGGUGUUGCAAGACAGCAGACGUAGCACUGCUUAUGUGUAUCCUGAAGUCCCAUGUGUAUCCUGAAGUCCCAGAAAGCUGCUUCAAGUAGAUUCCAGUGGAGAAGGGAGUCACCAAGGCUGGACAGUCAUUUAUCCAUGGCAGGACUAGCAAAAAAAUCUGCACCAUCUCUCAUCGCACACACGUGGGCGCAGUCAACAGCAGUGGAAGAGCUGGCUCAUGUGUGGCUCAGGCUGACUCCACAAUCAGAGUGAUUAUGUGGAAAUCAAUCAGAAUUUUCUUCUUAGAAGAUGUUUGUUCUGACAUAAUGACUGACUUUCCAGCUAAUUUUUAUUCAUAGGCUUCUCCUUGCACAAUGAUCUCUAUUUCUCUCAAUGUUAUUCUGUGUCUUUCUUGCUUGCCUGCACAUUCUGAAAAAAAAAGGAAAGCAAUUCCCUACAUUUUAUUUUGAUACUUAAUGUUGUUUGCUAACAUAUUCAGAACACAAUGCAACUUUAUAUAUUAGAGCACUUAUAAUAUAUAUUAGGAAAACAUCAAUUAGGUACCACCAGUUAUUUUAGACAGGUAUCUCUUAGGUAAAAUGUGGUGAAAAUAGAGGGGCAAUGAUAGAAUUCAUAUGUGAAAGAGUCAAUUGGCCAUCAUUAUGCCAAAAUUAUUUUGUGGUUCAGGGGACAUUUUAAACUUUAAUUUUUAAGAAUUAAACUUUAAUUAAAUUUAUUGUAGUUUAAAUGCAAUCACAAGGAAAGACUCUGAACUGGAAACACCAAGCCAAGCUCUUUCCUAGUUCUGGUCCCCUAUAAACCCUGAAAGUUAAUGCAAUUAUUGUAAUUUUUAAACCACCGAGUUCUCAGGGUGAUUAGUUAUGCAGCAAUAGAUAGCCUGAAAAGGACCAUUCUUUCUGGCACUGAAAAUUAAGAAGAGUGAUUAACAACAUAAGAAUGUAGUUUGUGCUGUCUGCCACAGAUUUAUGUUGUAGCUUCAGUGAUUGCUUCAAAGCACCCUUACUAAUUGCCAGCCUAUUGCUGAUACCUAGCUAAAUUAGCAUGUGUUAGUUUUGAUACCACUAUAGGCAUUUAAAGGAUAGCUGAUACAUUCUAUAUAAAAUAUAAUUAUUUUCCUAUCUUUAGUUUAUCCUAAAGUAGCAGCUAUUAUAUUCGCUUCUUGAUUAGCUUUAUACAUAACCAGAGAAAGUAAAAUAUCACAGAGUAUAUUUGAAGACAUAAAAGUCUUUGGACAAAGCUCAAGUAAUGAAUCAGGAUGCUAUUACAUCCUCCACAUGACAGUAAAUAUAUUUUAUAUUCCUAAAUUUUAAGCUUUUAACAAAAGCAAAUUUUAUACUGGACUAUUUCAAUUUCUAGGGAAAGGAAAUUAUCAUUUACUGUCUUUGAGGCUAUAAUCUAUUUAGCCAUUAUUUUUAUAUUGAUCAAUUUAUAAUAAAGGUAAGAGAAAAUACUACCACAUAUAUGUUGUUUAUAUAAUUUUAACUUUCAUAAUUAAAAUACUGGGUAUACUGCAAGAUGUCAAUAUUUAUAAUAGCUUAUAUUUGGAAACAAUUAUACUUUAUAUACUCCUA